AGUGAACGCUGGCGGUAGGCCUAACACAUGCAAGUCGAACGGCAGCACAGUAAGAGCUUGCUUUUACGGGUUGCGAGUGGCGGACGGGUGAGGAAAACAUCGGACUCUCCUUUUUCGUGGUGGAUAACGUAGAGAAAGACUCGCUACUACCGCAUACGCGCUACGGGUGUAAGGAGGGGUACUUCGGAACUUGAGUGGUUGAUUGAGUUGAUGUGGGUUUAGCUAGUUGGGGGGGUAAAGGCCAACCAAGGCGACGAUCCGAUGCUGGGCUGAGAGGAUGAUCUGCCACACUAGAACGGGGACACGGCCCAGACUCCUACGCGAGGCAGCAGUGGGGAAGAGUAGACAAGGGACGCAAGCCUGAUCCAGCCAUACCGCGUGGGUGAAGAAGGCCUUCGGGUUGUAAAGCCCUGUUGUUGUGAAAGAAAAGCAGCAGAUUAAGACCCCGCUGUUCUGACGGUACCCAAAGAAUAAGCACCGGCUAACUUCGUG
This 492-nucleotide ribosomal RNA is filed under the name uncultured bacterium. RNAcentral describes it as "partial 16S ribosomal RNA". It matches the Rfam family "Bacterial small subunit ribosomal RNA", at positions 29 to 507 of the family's 1533-position model. The record is from RNAcentral.